CAGGCCUAACACAUGCAAGUCGAGCGGUAUUGUUUCUUCGGAAAUGAGAGAGCGGCGUACGGGUGCGGAACACGUGUGCAACCUGCCUUUAUCUGGGGGAUAGCCUUUCGAAAGGAAGAUUAAUACUCCAUAACAUAUUGAUUGGCAUCAAUUAAUAUUGAAAGCUCCGGCGGAUAGAGAUGGGCACGCGCAAGAUUAGCUAGUUGGCGAGGUAACGGCUCACCAAGGCGAUGAUCUUUAGGGGGCCUGAGAGGGUGAUCCCCCACACUGGUACUGAGACACGGACCAGACUCCUACGGGAGGCAGCAGUGAGGAAUAUUGGUCAAUGGGUGCAAGCCUGAACCAGCCAUCCCGCGUGAAGGACGACUGCCCUAUGGGUUGUAAACUUCUUUUGUAUAGGGAUAAACCUACCCUCGUGAGGGUAGCUGAAGGUACUAUACGAAUAAGCACCGGCUAACUCCGUGCCAGCAGCCGCGGUAAUACGGAGGGUGCAAGCGUUAUCCGGAUUUAUUGGGUUUAAAGGGUCCGUAGGCGGACUUAUAAGUCAGUGGUGAAAGCCUGUCGCUUAACGAUAGAACUGCCAUUGAUACUGUAAGUCUUGAGUAUAUUUGAGGUAGCUGGAAUAAGUAGUGUAGCGGUGAAAUGCAUA
This 649-nucleotide ribosomal RNA is filed under the name uncultured bacterium. RNAcentral describes it as "bacterial SSU rRNA". It matches the Rfam family "Bacterial small subunit ribosomal RNA", at positions 43 to 692 of the family's 1533-position model. The record is from RNAcentral.